Molecule: ribosomal RNA, 253 nt
Filed under: uncultured bacterium
Lineage: Bacteria
Description: partial 16S ribosomal RNA
Rfam family: Bacterial small subunit ribosomal RNA
Source: RNAcentral
GACGAAGCGUGCAAGCGUUGUUCGGAAUCACUGGGCUUAAAGGGCGCGUAGGCGGCCUGACAAGUCAGCGGUGAAAGCCUCUAGCUUAACUAUAGAACUGCCUCUGAUACUGUUAAGCUUGAAAGAAGUAGAGGUGUACGGAAUGUGUCGUGGAGCGGUGAAAUGCAUAGAUAUCUCAUAGAACUCCGGUUGCGAAGGCAGCAGGCUAACCUUUUUCUGACGCUGAGGCACGAAAGCGAGGGUAGCGAACAGG